CUUAAUGUGGCAGAUUAGUGCAAUGAAUUUAAGCUUCAUUUAUAAAGAUUCAUCUUUCGUUAAGA
RNAcentral lists this transfer RNA (65 nucleotides) under Peirates arcuatus. RNAcentral's name for it is "tRNA-Leu". The record is from RNAcentral. Lineage: Eukaryota; Metazoa; Arthropoda; Insecta; Hemiptera; Reduviidae.